AAGUCGAGCGGUAGCACAAAGAGCUUGCUCUCGGGUGACGAGCGGCGGACGCGGUGAGUAAUGUCUGGGAAACUGCCUGAUGGAGGGGGAUAACUACUGGAAACGGUAGCUAAUACCGCAUAACGUCGCAAGACCAAAGUGGGGGACCUUCGGGCCUCAUGCCAUCAGAUGUGCCCAGAUGGGAUUAGCUAGUAGGUGGGGUAACGGCUCACCUAGGCGACGAUCCCUAGCUGGUCUGAGAGGAUGACCAGCCACACUGGAACUGAGACACGGUCCAGACUCCUACGGGAGGCAGCAGUGGGGAAUAUUGCACAAUGGGCGCAAGCCUGAUGCAGCCAUGCCGCGUGUGUGAAGAAGGCCUUCGGGUUGUAAAGCACUUUCAGCGGGGAGGAAGGCGGUGAGGUUAAUAACCUCGUCGAUUGACGUUACCCGCAGAAGAAGCACCGGCUAACUCCGUGCCAGCAGCCGCGGUAAUACGGAGGGUGCAAGCGUUAAUCGGAAUUACUGGGCGUAAAGCGCACGCAGGCGGUCUGUCAAGUC
This 540-nucleotide ribosomal RNA is filed under the name Klebsiella sp. Its description in RNAcentral is "bacterial SSU rRNA". It matches the Rfam family "Bacterial small subunit ribosomal RNA", at positions 59 to 589 of the family's 1533-position model. The record is from RNAcentral. Lineage: Bacteria; Pseudomonadati; Pseudomonadota; Gammaproteobacteria; Enterobacterales; Enterobacteriaceae.